This 761-nucleotide long non-coding RNA is filed under the name Elaeis guineensis (African oil palm). RNAcentral's name for it is "long non-coding RNA (EGUI_LNC062928)". Lineage: Eukaryota; Viridiplantae; Streptophyta; Magnoliopsida; Arecales; Arecaceae. The record is from RNAcentral.
ACCAUUCCUCCAUAGAUUACAUGGACAAUGUAAUCUAUGCAUGUACUUGGGAGAGACUGAGGCCAUGAACAUACAAGAUCUUUUGAGAACUACUAUUUUCAACUGCUUUGAUCCAUGCAUUUUGUCUUCCAAGACUUUAUUUAGUUCUGAAGCUUUAGCAACCGCAGGCCAAGGGAAUGAACUACUAAAAGAACUAGUGUAACAAGUCUUCUUCUCUCUUUCUUUAUCUCUUUUCUUGGAGAACACCUCGAAGCUUUACACCUGUCUCUUUGGUGGCAUAUGAUAUAAUAGCCCAUGAAACCCUAGGGCACCAUCUUUUUUGUAGAGGAGGGGAGGCACCUUAGGUUUCCUAAGUGGAUGAAACCCUAGAGUCUUGAUAAACUCUAAUUGAGAAAAAGGAUAAUGAAGAAGGGGGUGCUAACCCUUACUUGAGUGCUACCCUUACUAGUUGUUGCACUCCUUUCAUAAGUGCCUGGUCUGAAAGUUCAAAAGAAGGAAAGAAAUCAUCGGCCUAUUCCUUAAUUGCCCCCAACUUGGUUUUAUCCAAGUACUGCUAAUGGUCUAAUUUUGCUUGACCUGACCUAGCCUAAAUCCUCAUUCUAGGCCAUUUCUUUAGUUUAGUCUCCUCCAAUCAAAUCUGAAUCUUUCUAAAUCCAAUAUAUGAGACUAUAUUCAAUUAGAAUCUUAUUCUACUUGAUUUGUAGAUGAAUGACACGUGCUAGAUGCAUUAUUGGAAUAGGUCAACUCAUAUUCUUAGUCAU